This 79-nucleotide transfer RNA is filed under the name Thermoplasmata archaeon. Its description in RNAcentral is "tRNA-Met". It matches the Rfam family "tRNA". From Rfam's summary of the family: Transfer RNA (tRNA) molecules are approximately 80 nucleotides in length. Their secondary structure includes four short double-helical elements and three loops (D, anti-codon, and T loops). The record is from RNAcentral. Lineage: Archaea; Methanobacteriati; Thermoplasmatota; Thermoplasmata.
AGCGGGGUGGGGUAGCCAGGAUAUCCCGGCGGGCGGGCCCAUAACCCGCAGAUCGGUGGUUCAAAUCCACCCCCCGCUA